Molecule: long non-coding RNA, 695 nt
Organism: Mus musculus (house mouse)
Lineage: Eukaryota; Metazoa; Chordata; Mammalia; Rodentia; Muridae
Product: predicted gene, 53319
Exons: 3
Source: RefSeq, a predicted model, not a curated record
UGAGAAGGAAAAUGCAGCUAGAGGCCGCACACACCUCUUUCUACUCGUGGAUGUAUAAUAACAGAGAGGGGAGUGAUUCGGAAACAGACAUGGGAAGAAAGUAUGUAGUCCAGAAACUGGAGAGAGAAGCUUUCUUUCAUGAAACAGAGAAGACAAAUUCUUUCUUAAGCAAAGGGGAGAAAUGUGCCCCAUGGUAUUCCCGCUGCUUCCUGCUGCUUCUGUGGACUAGUUCUUAACUGGCAGAGCAUUGUGGUUUCUUCUGGAUCAAGCUGCUGCUACUAAUUCAAGUUUAGGGCUUGCUGAUUGGACUGGAUUGCCACUGUUGAUUUGUGUUUGACUGCUGAUAUCCUGGUAAUGAAGACUGGAAUCAUCCUCAAAGAACCACUUCUAAACACAUCCACAUGCUCCUUGUUCUGUUAACCAUCUGCUUCUGCUACCUCUGGAUGUGGGGUAGAAGGGAGGUUAAGGUGUUUAACCUAAUUAAAGUAGGUUUUGAAAAAAUCUAAGCCUACAAGUUAGGAAGGAGCCCAGAACAAAAUAAUACCCAAGAUAUAGUGACCACUUCUUCCAGCUUGGCCUACCUUCUAUGUUCUCAGAACCUCUCAAAACAUGCUUACUACCUGAGUACAAAAUGUUGACUAUACAAACUCGUGGAGAACAUCUCAUAAUUGUAUUAUGACAUCCUGCAAGACUUU